This 305-nucleotide ribosomal RNA is filed under the name uncultured bacterium. Its description in RNAcentral is "bacterial SSU rRNA". It matches the Rfam family "Bacterial small subunit ribosomal RNA", at positions 333 to 636 of the family's 1533-position model. The record is from RNAcentral.
CUAGGCCUACGGGGCGCAGCAGUGAGGAAUAUUGGUCAAUGGCCGAGAGGCUGAACCAGCCAAGUCGCGUGAGGGAAGACGGCCCUACGGGUUGUAAACCUCUUUUGUCGGGGAGCAAAGCGAACCACGUGUGGUUCAUUGAGAGUACCCGAAGAAAAAGCAUCGGCUAACUCCGUGCCAGCAGCCGCGGUAAUACGGAGGAUGCGAGCGUUAUCCGGAUUUAUUGGGUUUAAAGGGUGCGCAGGCGGAGGUGCAAGUCAGCGGUAAAAUUUCGGGGCUCAACCCCGUCGUGCCGUUGAAACUGG